RNAcentral lists this ribosomal RNA (253 nucleotides) under uncultured bacterium. Its description in RNAcentral is "partial 16S ribosomal RNA". It matches the Rfam family "Bacterial small subunit ribosomal RNA", at positions 524 to 776 of the family's 1533-position model. The record is from RNAcentral.
UACGUAGGUGGCAAGCGUUGUCCGGAUUUAUUGGGUUUAAAGGGUGCGUAGGCGGCUUUGUAAGUCAGUGGUGAAAUAUGGCAGCUCAACUGUCAGGGUGCCAUUGAUACUGCGGAGCUUGAGUACAGAUGAGGUAGGCGGAAUUGACGGUGUAGCGGUGAAAUGCUUAGAUAUCGUCAAGAACACCGAUAGUGAAGACAGCUUACUAGGCUACAACUGACGCUGAGGCACGAAAGUGUGGGGAUCAAACAGG